AACCUCCGCAAUGUGAGAAAUCGCGACGGGGGGAUCCCAAGUGCCAUUCUUAACGGGAUGGCUUUUCAUUAGUGUAAAAAGCUUUUGGAAUAAGAGCUGGGCAAGACCGGUGCCAGCCGUCGCGGUAACACCGGCAGCUCUAGUGGUAGCAAUUUUUAUUGGGCCUAAAGCGUCCGUAGCCGGUUUAAUAAGUCUCUGGUGAAAUCCUGUAGCUUAACUGUGGGAAUUGCUGGAGAUACUAUUAGACUUGAGACCGGGAGAGGUUAGAGGUACUCCCAGGGUAGAGGUGAAAUUCUGUAAUCCUGGGAGGACCGCCUGUUGCGAAGGCGUCUAACUGGAACGGUUCUGACGGUGAGGGACGAAAGUUAGGGGCGCGAACCGGAUUAGAUACCCGGGUAGUCCUAACUGUAAACGAUGCGGACUUGGUGUUGGGGUGGCUUUGAGCUGCUCCAGUGCCGAAGGGAAGCUGUUAAGUCCGCCGCCUGGGAAGUACGGUCGCAAGACUGAAACUUAAAGGAAUU
RNAcentral lists this ribosomal RNA (521 nucleotides) under uncultured bacterium. RNAcentral describes it as "bacterial SSU rRNA". It matches the Rfam family "Archaeal small subunit ribosomal RNA", at positions 345 to 866 of the family's 1478-position model. The record is from RNAcentral.